Molecule: ribosomal RNA, 492 nt
Filed under: uncultured bacterium
Lineage: Bacteria
Description: partial 16S ribosomal RNA
Rfam family: Bacterial small subunit ribosomal RNA
Source: RNAcentral
AGUGAACGCUGGCGGUAGGCCUAACACAUGCAAGUCGAACGGCAGCACAGUAAGAGCUUGCUCUUACGGGUGGCGAGUGGCGGACGGGUGAGGAAUACAUCGGAAUCUACUUUUUCGUGGGGGAUAACGUAGGGAAACUUACGCUAAUACCGCAUACGACCUACGGGUGAAAGCAGGGGAUCUUCGGACCUUGCGCGAUCGAAUGAGCCGAUGUCGGAUUAGCUAGUUGGCGGGGUAAAGGCCCACCAAGGCGACGAUCCGUAGCUGGUCUGAGAGGAUGAUCAGCCACACUGGAACUGAGACACGGUCCAGACUCCUACGGGAGGCAGCAGUGGGGAAUAUUGGACAAUGGGCGCAAGCCUGAUCCAGCCAUACCGCGUGGGUGAAGAAGGCCUUCGGGUUGUAAAGCCCUUUUGUUGGGAAAGAAAAGCAGCAGGUUAAUACCCCGCUGCUCUGACGGUACCCAAAGAAUAAGCACCGGCUAACUUCGUG